This 451-nucleotide unclassified non-coding RNA is filed under the name Hevea brasiliensis (rubber tree). The record is from RNAcentral. Lineage: Eukaryota; Viridiplantae; Streptophyta; Magnoliopsida; Malpighiales; Euphorbiaceae.
AAUUUUUCAAGCUAAGUGAUGAAGAUUGAAGGAUGACAAAACAUAAUUUAAACAAGCAAAUUCCACCCAAAUUACUAAAUUGCCUGGCAAGUCAAAACUUUAACCAGAGCACGUUAUUGUUGAUCUGGCACAACCGUAUCGUCCCUUGAGAUUUUUUUUAACCAGAAAAAGACAGCUUAUAUAGAAGAAAAGUGAGCUGUUUUUUUGGUUAUUCCUAUUUUCGUCAAAUAAAAAAUUUUACAAAAUAGAAACACCAUAAGCAGAAAUGCGAAUCAUAGGAGGCCACGAGGCAGCACCGAGCGUGAAGUACACGAACGGUGGAGAUUGGUUUCAGCGCAUACUACCGCCUCCCACAGCAACUAUCAAACACCGGAUAAUUUAACCACUGCUAAAAUGGAGAUCUAAAAGACGAGAAAAUCCGUUUUAAAACCUUCAAUAACUAUUUUUCGUU